Molecule: ribosomal RNA, 443 nt
Filed under: Capnocytophaga granulosa
Lineage: Bacteria; Pseudomonadati; Bacteroidota; Flavobacteriia; Flavobacteriales; Flavobacteriaceae
Description: bacterial SSU rRNA
Rfam family: Bacterial small subunit ribosomal RNA
Source: RNAcentral
GAUGAACGCUAGCGGCAGGCCUAACACAUGCAAGUCGAGGGAGAAGCCCUUCGGGGCAGAAACCGGCGCACGGGUGCGUAACGCGUAUGCAACCUACCUUUCACAGGGGGAUAGCCCGAAGAAAUUUGGAUUAAUACCCCAUAAUAUUAUUGGAUGGCAUCAUUUGAUAAUUAAAAUUACGAUGGUGAAAGAUGGGCAUGCGUCCUAUUAGCUAGUUGGAGUGGUAACGGCACCCCAAGGCUACGAUAGGUAGGGGUCCUGAGAGGGAGAUCCCCCACACUGGUACUGAGACAGGGACCAGACUCCUACGGGAGGCAGCAGUGAGGAAUAUUGGUCAAUGGUCGGAAGACUGAACCAGCCAUGCCGCGUGCAGGAAGAAUGCCUUAUGGGUUGCAAACUGCUUUUAUAUGGGAAGAAUAAGGAGUACGUGUACUUUGAUGACG